GUGGGGAAUAUUGGACAAUGGGCGCAAGCCUGAUCCAGCCAUGCCGCGUGAGUGAUGAAGGCCUUAGGGUUGUAAAGCUCUUUCACCGAUGAAGAUAAUGACGGUAGUCGGAGAAGAAGCCCCGGCUAACUUCGUGCCAGCAGCCGCGGUAAUACGAAGGGGGCUAGCGUUGUUCGGAUUUACUGGGCGUAAAGCGCACGUAGGCGGUUUGUUAAGUCAGGGGUGAAAUCCCGGAGCUCAACUCCGGAACUGCCUUUGAUACUGGCAAGCUAGAGUCCGGAAGAGGUAAGUAGAACUCCUAGUGUAGAGGUGGAAUUCGUAGAUAUUAGGAAGAACACCAGUGGCGAAGGCGGCUCACUGGUCCGGUACUGACGCUGAGGUGCGAAAGCGAGGGGAGCAAAUGGGAUUAGAAACCCGUGUAGUCC
RNAcentral lists this ribosomal RNA (425 nucleotides) under uncultured bacterium. Its description in RNAcentral is "partial 16S ribosomal RNA". It matches the Rfam family "Bacterial small subunit ribosomal RNA", at positions 354 to 796 of the family's 1533-position model. The record is from RNAcentral.